Molecule: ribosomal RNA, 498 nt
Filed under: uncultured bacterium
Lineage: Bacteria
Description: partial 16S ribosomal RNA
Rfam family: Bacterial small subunit ribosomal RNA
Source: RNAcentral
AUUGAACGCUAGCGGCAUGCCUUACACAUGCAAGUCGAACGGUAACAGGUCUUCGGAUGCUGACGAGUGGCGAACGGGUGAGUAAUACAUCGGAACGUGCCUAGUAGUGGGGGAUAACUACUCGAAAGAGUGGCUAAUACCGCAUGAGAUCUACGGAUGAAAGCAGGGGAUCGCAAGACCUUGUGCUACUAGAGCGGCCGAUGGCAGAUUAGGUAGUUGGUGGGAUAAAAGCUUACCAAGCCGACGAUCUGUAGCUGGUCUGAGAGGACGAUCAGCCACACUGGGACUGAGAAACGGCCCAGACUCCUACGGGAGGCAGCAGUGGGGAAUUUUGGACAAUGGGCGCAAGCCUGAUCCAGCAAUGCCGCGUGCAGGAUGAAGGCCUUCGGGUUGUAAACUGCUUUUGUACGGAACGAAAAGCCCCGGGUUAAUACCCUGGGGUCAUGACGGUACCGUAAGGAUAAGCACCGGCUAACUACGUGCCAGCCGCCGCGGUAA